AAGACGACCGAGGGUGCGAAUAAUUCACAACCGGUAGGGAUCAUACCAACAAGCGAGAAGGGUGAAAACAGCGCAAAAGUGACUGGUGAAAAAGAUACAAACAGCAGGAAAGAAGAUGUAAGUUCUUCAGAUCAGGAAACAAGCUCCAAAGAUGAUAAACCAAACGGACAGGAUGACGGAAGCAUUGGCGACGAUUGGUCUCUCGUUUCCAUUGAAGGUAAUACAGCUCAUAUUUGAAUAAAAUAUUUUACGUUUGCUAACAAUAUAAUCUAUCACCAUCAUUUAUUCAAAAGUUGCAGCAGUACUUCAUCCUAAAUGCAUGGCUAAAUUCUUCAUAUGUGAUUAACCUUAAUAAUAUUAUUUUCUGCAUUGAUUAUGCAUUACAUUUAUGAAUUUGUUAAUGGAAAAUUUGAGAGGGAUUUUUCUUCGGAGAGUUAAAAUUGUUUUUCUUGCAGAGGAAGCAAAUGAAGAAUUGCUCCAUCAAACUGCAAUGCAAAAAGCGGUUCCAGCGUGUCCGCGCGAAAU
Long non-coding RNA from Lytechinus variegatus (green sea urchin), 525 nucleotides. RefSeq lists it as uncharacterized. The transcript has 3 exons. The record is from RefSeq and is a predicted model, not a curated record. NCBI's taxonomy places the organism in Eukaryota, Metazoa, Echinodermata, Echinoidea, Temnopleuroida, Toxopneustidae.